This is a long non-coding RNA of Pyrus x bretschneideri (Chinese white pear), 1297 nucleotides long. RefSeq lists it as uncharacterized. Lineage: Eukaryota; Viridiplantae; Streptophyta; Magnoliopsida; Rosales; Rosaceae. The record is from RefSeq and is a predicted model, not a curated record. The transcript is spliced from 2 exons.
ACUUAUUUAAUUACAUUAUUAUCCGAGUGUGAAAGACAUUUAUUAUAAACGGCAUUACAUGCCUAUUAAGAUGUUGGAUUUUUUUGAUUGAGGGGCAAUUUUUUUCCUAAUAUUUUUGUCGAAGCCUGCAGUCAAACUUCAAACACGGCAAAUCAUUGUCCUAGUAAAACACAAUUAACAUCAAAUUACCAUCCAUAAUUCAAAAUUAGCAGCCUAAUUAUUACCAAUCCAACGGCCAAAGAAUCGAGUCAAAAUCCCAACGGCUGCGAUUGAUUUAGUCAACUGGGAUGUGGCUGGUUGGCCCAUCGUACUGUUUCGGAAUCUAAUCCAACUUCCCCAGAAAUAUCUGACUGCUGCCCGUAGUCAGUCCCAGUGACUGCCCGAACACUGACUCGUCAGCACCCAGUCUCGCUCCGGGCAGCUCCAAACUCCAAAGCUCUCUCUCUCCUCCCUCUUCUCUUUCUCUCUCUACACUUGGAAAUACAUAAAUGUGAAACCUUUCAUUCGGCGAGGAAUGGAGGCCGCCACCUUCUGCCUUCAGGUAAAGGUGGCUCAAAGAUAUUGCUGAAUGAAGUUCUCCCAUUGACUCCAUUGAUAAGAGAAAAACAGAGAGGAGGAGGAGAGAUAGAGAGAGAGAGAGAGAGAGAGAGAUGGGUCAGGGGUUGAGUUGCAGAGAGAGUGACGAACAUGGGCUGUUCCGAGCCGUAAAAUUUGGGGAGCUGGACACCGUGGAAGCUGUGUUAGAGAGAGACCCAACUCUCCUCGGCCACUCCAUCGUCUACGACCGCCACUCUGCUCUUCAUAUCGCCGCCGCUAACGGCCAGAUCGAGAGAAAAUUGAAGAGAUAGGUAGAAAGAUUGUCAGGAGAGGAUCAACUUUCUCUCUUGGGCCGAGUCCAAAUUCCGGUGGGAUUGGCCGGAAUCAGCAAAACUCCGCCAAAAAAAGUCACUGUUCUAGGCUCCAAUCUUUGAACACAGUUGAUUUUGAGGUGUGGGUGUCAUAUCAGAUGGAAGAGAGUUCUGAUACGAAUCUAUAGGCUCCGACCUUGCGUGAUUUCGUUACCGUAUGAAAAAGUUACGAUGAAAUUAAGUUUUGCAGUGGAAGAAUGCAGGAGGGAGGAGUAUAAGAACAGCAGUGCAGCUGCUGGUCUGCACGCAGGAAGGAAGGUGACUUGUUUGGUAUUUUCACUAUGAUAAAAUAAUAAUUAUUUAAAAAAACUGUUUAUAUGACGAAAAUAUCCCUAUAUUAUUUGAUGUAUUAUUUUGAACUUCUUACUAACUUUUUUGUUUUGAGGGCA